UACGGAGGGGGCGAGCGUUGUUCGGAAUUACUGGGCGUAAAGGGCGCGUAGGCGGCCUUGUCAGUCAGGCGUGAAAGCCCCGGGCUCAACCUGGGAUGUGCGCUUGAUACUGCAAGGCUUGAGACCGGAAGAGGAUGGCGGAAUACCCAGUGUAGAGGUGAAAUUCGUAGAGAUCGGUAAGAACACCUGCGGCGAAGGCGGUAACCUGGACCAAGAUUGACGCUGAGGCACGAAAGCGUGGGGAGCAAACAGG
RNAcentral lists this ribosomal RNA (253 nucleotides) under uncultured bacterium. Its description in RNAcentral is "partial 16S ribosomal RNA". It matches the Rfam family "Bacterial small subunit ribosomal RNA", at positions 524 to 776 of the family's 1533-position model. The record is from RNAcentral.